Molecule: ribosomal RNA, 421 nt
Filed under: uncultured bacterium
Lineage: Bacteria
Description: bacterial SSU rRNA
Rfam family: Bacterial small subunit ribosomal RNA
Source: RNAcentral
GGGCCCGCACAAGCGGUGGAGCAUGUGGUUUAAUUCGAUGCAACGCGAAGAACCUUACCAAGCCUUGACAUCCUCGGAACUUUCCAGAAAUGGAUUGGUGCCUUCGGGAACCGAGUGACAGGUGCUGCAUGGCUGUCGUCAGCUCGUGUCGUGAGAUGUUGGGUUAAGUCCCGUAACGAGCGCAACCCUUGUCCUUAGUUGCCAGCACUUCGGGUGGAACUCUAAGGAGACUGCCGGUGACAAACCGGAGGAAGGUGGGACGACGUCAAGUCAUCAUGGCCCUUACGGCUUGGGCUACACACGUGCUACAAUGGCAAGUACAGACGGCUGCUAACCCGCGAGGGGAGCUAAUCCCAAAAAGUGUUCCUCAGUUCGGAUUGCAGGCUGAAAUUCGCCUGCAUGAAGCCGGAAUCGCUAGUAA